GAUUCUUUGUAGGCAGCAGACCAGACCUGAGGUCCCUCGAGGCGGCUAGAAACGUCGUCGUUACCGCUGCUUCAUCGAGGAGGGGGAGGGGGAGGAGGAGGAGAUCUGGUCGUUCGACUUCGGGUACCCGCUGCGCCGCCGCCUCGUGGUGGUGCCGCAGCCGCCUCGUGGUGGUGCCGCAGCCGCUGCUCGGCAAGAAAGCCUACCUCUUGGAAGGACCUCACAACGGGUAAAACUCGUGCUUCCUGUUCUCUAGGGAUAUCAUGAAGUACCGACGAGUUUUAAUCUCUUCCGAUGUUAUUACAAAUUUCCGUCGUUUCCCGGCGGGCACAUAAGUACCUAUACUUGUCUCACAUCUGUCGGUUUACGACUAUUACCUCAAGAAGUUGAACGGGCGAGGAACCUACAACACGUGAACACGGGGCUGACCUCUGCAACCUAAACCUACACUCACGGUAAAAUAGUCAAGUUUAUUUGUUUAUGUACCUAGAGUCUACCAUAUAGACUUGGAACUCUUACCACCCUCGCUACUCCACCACCUCCUCCUUCCGAGGGAGGGUAUACGCAGUGGCAAUGGUAGAGUUCUGCCAGGUGUACUCGCCAAAAACCACGAUGUAACGAGUUCAGUUUGACCCCACGACAUAGAACGUCUUACGAACAAAAGAACUCGUGUACCUUUAUGUCGGUUCCCAGUGGCGGUCAUACAAAGGGUAGGUCCUAGUACCGCAGCUCACACGACGGGCCCUCCAGUCGUCUACCCGUGUCGAUGGAACCUCGCGAAAGCAUAUUCCACUAGUGUCAGAGUCCACGGGGAAGUGUCACUCGCUCAUUCGGUUAGGAAACUGACAGGGGCAGACACAUGACAUACGACACUGGUACGGUAGGGGAAAAAAACCGACGAAUGUUCUCCAGUCCACGGCGACUACCACCGACGACUUUCUUGAACUCACUACUUACGAGUUUGUUUCAAACCCCAGCUAGCUCGCGGCUACCACCGUAGUACAUUAUGGCUUAUACAACCACGACAUUCGGUCAAGCGACCCAAGAACUCUCGGACAGUACGUUUCUCUGUUACUACAGGUACACUACCUAUUAGAGCCACACAAAAUAAAAAGACCCCGUUCCUAGUUGUGUGUAGUUCAGAGUUGGUCCGGAGUACGUUCUAACGGACUAGCAGUAUCAAAACGAGGUAACCGGGCAGUUAAAAUGAAAUCAAACACGGCGCAUAAGUGACAAACUUAGACUCGACUAACUAAGAAUAGAGACGUCGACUUCGAUGCAGACCUGUCAAUAUUCUUCUUUGCGACUUUCGACAUGUUAGAUAGAUAGUAGAAAGAACAUCGCCCUAAACAGCUCUUCCUUUGGACGUCUCCCUUUGGGGGCGUGGUCAGGGUCUGGUUCAGGGAAAUGACAUGGCGACUACCAACUUAGAGAUCGAGUCAAUAGGGGUCAACCGAAACCUUACUCUUCUUCUCUCUAAGACACCACAGCGGAGGCUUGUAGAUCAAGAAGGAGGGUCGUUACAGAGUAACGAAACUUCGUUUACCAGAACGACCAGCUCCUAAUCUUCGCUCAAAAGAAAAAGAAAAAGAAAAUCACUCUACAUCUUGACUUCCGAGGCAAUGGCAGUCCGCUCAGAUGUCGGAACAGUGGACCUCACUUUAACGCUACCUUAAACACAAACCGGGACUUGUCAUCCCCUCGGGGACAACUCAAAUAACUACGUGACUAACUUACCUUU
RNAcentral lists this ribosomal RNA (1741 nucleotides) under Triticum aestivum (bread wheat). Its description in RNAcentral is "partial small subunit ribosomal RNA". Lineage: Eukaryota; Viridiplantae; Streptophyta; Magnoliopsida; Poales; Poaceae. The record is from RNAcentral.